Molecule: ribosomal RNA, 374 nt
Filed under: uncultured organism
Description: bacterial SSU rRNA
Rfam family: Bacterial small subunit ribosomal RNA
Source: RNAcentral
CGGGGGGAGCAAGCGUUGUUCGGAUUUACUGGGCGUAAAGGGCGCGUAGGCGGCCACCGCAAGUCGACUGUGAAAUCUCCGGGCUUAACCCGGAAAGGUCAGCCGAUACUGCGGGGCUAGAGUGCAGAAGGGGCAACUGGAAUUCUCGGUGUAGCGGUGAAAUGCGUAGAUAUCGAGAGGAACACCUGCGGCGAAGGCGGGUUGCUGGGCUGACACUGACGCUGAUGCGCGAAAGCUAGGGGAGCGAACGGGAUUAGAUACCCCGGUAGUCCUAGCCUUAAACGAUGAGUGCUUGGUGUCUGGGGUUUUAUAGUCCCCGGGUGCCGUCGCUAACGCUUUAAGCAUUCCGCCUGGGGAGUACGGUCGCAAGACUG